RNAcentral lists this ribosomal RNA (253 nucleotides) under uncultured bacterium. Its description in RNAcentral is "partial 16S ribosomal RNA". It matches the Rfam family "Bacterial small subunit ribosomal RNA", at positions 524 to 776 of the family's 1533-position model. The record is from RNAcentral.
UACGUAGGGGGCGAGCGUUGUCCGAAGUUACUGGGCGUAAAGCGCACGUAGGCGGCUUUGUAAGUUAGAGGUGAAAGCCCGGGGCUCAACUCCGGAACUGCCUUUAAGACUGCAUCGCUUGAAUCCGGGAGAGGUGAGUGGAAUUCCGAGUGUAGAGGUGAAAUUCGUAGAUAUUCGGAAGAACACCAGUGGCGAAGGCGGCUCACUGGACCGGUAUUGACGCUGAGGUGCGAAAGCGUGGGGAGCAAACAGG